RNAcentral lists this small RNA (289 nucleotides) under Drosophila pseudoobscura pseudoobscura. RNAcentral describes it as "GA32719". The record is from RNAcentral. Lineage: Eukaryota; Metazoa; Arthropoda; Insecta; Diptera; Drosophilidae.
UCAAAAAUCCUAUAUACCCAGGCAUUAAAAAUCAUUGAUAUUCAGUCAGUCAUGUGGCUGGCAACAGAACAUUCAAAUAUUAAACAACAAUUCUGGGCCUAAUUCCUUGGGUGAUUGUACUUUGGGAAACCCUCGAAAUUCUGCGGAUGCUUCGGGCACUUUGGAGCUUCUGGUGGCCCCUGCUAUGAGCCUCCGGUGGGAGGGCGGGGGGGCCGCACAGGAGGUUCCUUCGGGCAAAAGUUAAUUUCCCACAAGAAAAUGCCAAUAAAAUUCUAUAAUAAAUAGUGAA